This 253-nucleotide ribosomal RNA is filed under the name uncultured prokaryote. Its description in RNAcentral is "partial 16S ribosomal RNA". It matches the Rfam family "Bacterial small subunit ribosomal RNA", at positions 524 to 776 of the family's 1533-position model. The record is from RNAcentral.
UACAGAGGUCUCAAGCGUUGUUCGGAUUCAUUGGGCGUAAAGGGUGCGUAGGCGGCGCGGUAAGUCGGGUGUGAAAUCUUGGAGCUUAACUCCGAAACUGCAUUCGAUACUGCCGUGCUUGAGGACUGGAGAGGAGACUGGAAUUUACGGUGUAGCGGUGAAAUGCGUAGAUAUCGUAAGGAAGACCAGUGGCGAAGGCGGGUCUCUGGGCAUCUCCUGACGCUGAGGCGCGAAAGCGUGGGGAGCAAACGGG